UGGAUAUGGUGAAAUUUCAGGGUCUAACUUUAAUUAUUUGCAUGUGAACAUCCAGUUUUCUUAGCCAUAUGCCGCAGUCUGGCUGGGCACAAAUGCCGCAGUCUGGCUGGGCACACAAUCACGAGCCACCACACAGCUUGUAGAUUCAAACAGCAACUCUUUAUUCCCGAACUCACACCAGCCGUCUACAAUCACGUUCUGGGGAAAUCCACGUUCUCUGCCCAAAUCCACCCACUGGGCGUCUAUCUCCCAAAAAAUACUGUCUGAAUCCCGUGAGAACUCAAGGGGAACUCAGGCAGCAGGAUAUGCCCUAUUCCCAGCAGGAAUAAUCUUAAACCUGGAACCUAAACCGGGAACGCCCUAAACCCGGAUCCGCCCUGGUCCUUGAGCAAGGUCACCUACAUGCAAUGUCACUGCAAAAUGUCCUAUUUCCACGAGUCCUUCCACUAAGCAACAUGGGGUACGCUGGCAAGGAAAUUGUCAUACCUACUUGGCUAAUGGCUCCCAGCAGCCAUAGAAUAGUUUAUUCUCCAGAGUGGUUUUGGCAUCCUUGUUCAAAAUCAGUUGCCUGCAUAUGAGAGGGGUUUAUUUGGGGACUUUGUAUUCUAAUGGUCUGUUUGUCGUUACACUAGUGCCACACUGUUUUGAUUAAGUUUUACAUUACCAUUUUCAAUCCUGUGA
RNAcentral lists this long non-coding RNA (681 nucleotides) under Marmota monax (woodchuck). The record is from RNAcentral. Lineage: Eukaryota; Metazoa; Chordata; Mammalia; Rodentia; Sciuridae.